Molecule: long non-coding RNA, 2287 nt
Organism: Drosophila sechellia
Lineage: Eukaryota; Metazoa; Arthropoda; Insecta; Diptera; Drosophilidae
Exons: 2
Source: RefSeq, a predicted model, not a curated record
CGCUUUUUGGCAGGCCGCGCGGCCAGUCGUCAGUCAGUUGGCCAACAAACUGGUAGCGUCUGGUGUGGCGAGCCAACAAAAGGCUGGCAGGGCGGCCAACACCGGACCCGGCCAGAAACUGAAUCCGGGUCCGGGUCUGGGUCCGUGUCCGUGUCCGGGUUGGAUCCGCAGCAUCUACGGCAGCACGGCUGCCAAUUGAGCGGAGUUUGGGUCUCAAUUUGACGCGUAGCCAGCCAAGAAGAGUGGCCGGCCAACAACAAAAACAGGUGACGCAGGAUAUGGCCAACUGAGCAGGGAGAUGGAGGAAGAGCAGGAGGCGCAGCAGGAGGAGGAGGAAACGCAGCGCACUUUUUUGGCCACGGUCCGCGUUUGAUUAGCCAACUCAAACAUCAGGGCCAAGAUCAGGGCAAUUGACAGCUCUUCUCCCUCAAUUUCCACUUCUGCUUGGCACACAGUCGCAGAGACACACAGUGCCUUAUGGCCACUGGACGAUGGACCACAGUGGAGCCUGGGCAGUAUGCAACACCUGACGCUGCCCGCCAGGAUACUCCCGUUCGUCUCGAUCAUACAGCAAAUAAGAAACAUUAAAUAAACAAUCAAAGAAAAGGAGUAUUGCUCCGCAACUGCCAACAACAUCCAACGACAACCAGUUGCUCUGUGGUGCUAGAAAGUGAGUGUAAACAGUGUGUGCCUUUGUGAACUGAACUGAACUGACCAACGUGCCAAGAACGAAGGGACGAGGAGGUGGGCACUCUGGCUCGGACCCAAGCGAUUUGGCAGGAGCUGAUUGUUUCAUCUGGCCAGGCUUAAUGAAAGAACUCGUCCUGGCCGCGGCUCCAUGUCAAACGCAGCAGGGCAAUCGCCAGCGAAGGCCCAAAGGAUAAGCAUCGUCCAGAACAUCGGAAUCUCCAGCGAAGGAUGCACUAAAAACAUUAUCCACAGGACUAAGAUCCCAAAAGAUAAUAUAUAAUAUAUAUUAAAAAAAAAAAUAAAUAAUAAUAAUAGAAACAAAAGCAAAUAUAAUACGAUGACACCUAAUAGACACAUUGUAAUAAAAUUGAAAGAAGUAGACAAGAAUAACCACUCAUAAAACUAAAAUAACCUGCCUAUAACUAUUUAUAAAAUAGUUGAAAUAGUGCUUACUAUGAACCAUAAUCGCAUAUGAUAUAACCAAUAUUGAGCACUUAUUGUAGCCCAAUAUUAUAUAUAGAACUAAAUAUGAAAUAGUCACAAACAAUAGUGAAUUACAAUACGUUUAUAAACCAACGUCAAAAGAUUUAUAACGAAAAUAUCUUUCUUUAUAAUGAGCACUUUCGAACAAUUAUAAUUAAUAUAAAUUAGCGCGGGAAGUCUUCGGCGUGGUGAAAGUAUAAGAUGUAAGCACAGCUGAGAAGAAAGGAAUUUACAAAAUCUAAGGAGGAGAAAGGAGUGAAAAACAUCUAAGCGCGGAAAAGUGCUACAAAAUGAAGCUGACGGCUUAAAGGAAACCUUGUUGGCCAAUUGGGGAGGAGGCCCAGAAAGUCGAGCCGAUUUUCCGCUGCAACCGACGAAGGUCUGACCAACCAAUCGCAACGCACAGCGGCGACGAAGCCCGGCCGAAAGGGAGCAUCUCGGGCAAACGGAGGCAAAGCCAGCCGCCCUGCAAUGCAUUUUCUUUGGCAACGUGUCAAGGGGCCUUUCACACACACACACACACACACACACAUUAGGAUUCCAUAAGGAUACUCUGCCUCGCUAACAUGCGCAUCGAGUGGUAUACGUAAUAUAUCAAGUAUACGCCUGUUGGCCGGGCAGAAAGUCUGUGAGUGUGUGCGAAUGGCCAAAUAGAAUGCUGCCAACUGCAUUGCCGGGCUGCCAACGACUCAACCCCCGACCCGAGGACACCACCCUCCUCCCGCCAGGAGGCCAACGACGAGUCCUUUUUGGAGGCAGCGCAUUGGCUGCAGGACGACCGGCGACAGGACGACCAAUCACCAAUCAAAUCGGGGCUUGUGCGCACUAUCACGGCCGUACGAAGAGCCACUGGCACGGCAUCCAGGACCUCAGCCGGAGACCCCAAGCCGAUUGCCAAUCUCUUAGACAUAUUAUUAUGCCAACGUCUCCUAUAUUAUAGUUCUCUAGUCGUAAGUCACAUGCCCAAGCCAUCGCCCCGGAACAUCGGGGGCGUGAAACAUUAGUUUUAUUGAUAGAGUUCUUAGUUUCGAGCAGAAGCUAUACGAUGAUGAUUUCAAGAAUGCAUAAGAGAAAAUGGAAUAAAAACUGUAAAGCUUCAGAGCGGCACAACAAA